GCUAGGGGCAGUGGUCAAGGA
Molecule: microRNA, 21 nt
Filed under: Selaginella moellendorffii
Lineage: Eukaryota; Viridiplantae; Streptophyta; Lycopodiopsida; Selaginellales; Selaginellaceae
Description: smo-miR1110
Source: miRBase by way of RNAcentral